GACGAACGCUGGCGGCGUGCCUAAUACAUGCAAGUAGAACGCACAAUAUAUACCGUAGCUUGCUACACCAUAGACUGUGAGUUGCGAACGGGUGAGUAACGCGUAGGUAACCUGCCUGGUAGCGGGGGAUAACUAUUGGAAACGAUAGCUAAUACCGCAUAAUAUUAAUUAUUGCAUAAUAAUUGAUUGAAAGAUGCAACUGCAUCACUACCAGAUGGACCUGCGUUGUAUUAGCUAGUAGGUGAGGUAACGGCUCACUUAGGCGACGAUACCUAUCC
This 278-nucleotide ribosomal RNA is filed under the name uncultured Streptococcus sp. RNAcentral's name for it is "partial 16S ribosomal RNA". It matches the Rfam family "Bacterial small subunit ribosomal RNA", at positions 28 to 288 of the family's 1533-position model. Lineage: Bacteria; Bacillati; Bacillota; Bacilli; Lactobacillales; Streptococcaceae. The record is from RNAcentral.